This 515-nucleotide ribosomal RNA is filed under the name uncultured soil bacterium. RNAcentral's name for it is "bacterial SSU rRNA". It matches the Rfam family "Bacterial small subunit ribosomal RNA", at positions 26 to 508 of the family's 1533-position model. The record is from RNAcentral.
AGAUUGAACGCUGGCGGCAGGCUUAACACAUGCAAGUCGAGCGGUAACAGAGAGUAGUUUGCUAUUCUGCUGACGAGCGGCGGACGGGUGAGUAAUGCCUAGGAAUCUGCCUGGUAGUGGGGGAUAACUUGCCGAAAGGUAAGCUAAUACCGCAUACGUCCUACGGGAGAAAGCAGGGGACUCUUCGGAGCCUUGCGCUAUUAGAUGAGCCUAGGUCGGAUUAGUUAGUUGGUGAGGUAAUGGCUCACCAAGACCGCGAUCCGUAACUGGUCUGAGAGGAUGAUCAGUCACACCGGAACUGAGACACGGUCCAGACUCCUACGGGAGGCAGCAGUGGGGAAUAUUGGGACAAGUGGGGGCAACCCUGAUCCAGCCAUGCCGCGUGUGUGAAAGAAGGUCUUAGGAUUUGUAAAAGCUAACUUUUAAGGUUGGGAAGGAAACGGGUCAAGUUUAAACUAAUUACUUGACUUGUUUUGAACGUUACCGAUAAGAAUAAGCACCGGCUAACUUCGCGC